RNAcentral lists this long non-coding RNA (965 nucleotides) under Brassica rapa (field mustard). RNAcentral's name for it is "long non-coding RNA (BRAP_LNC000319)". The record is from RNAcentral. Lineage: Eukaryota; Viridiplantae; Streptophyta; Magnoliopsida; Brassicales; Brassicaceae.
GAGUUUCAAAACAUUGAGUAUGAGACUUUAAUUUUCGGGUCAUGUUUUCUGAUACGAAUAUUCUUGACUAAUUAUGUUAGGUAACUACUAAAAAAAUAGAAUAUGUUGCAAACUUUAAAAAUAAAGUUUAAAAAUAGUUUCUGAAAUAUAUAUGGCACAAGUAUAUAGUUAUGCAGCUUGACAUAUUUAGUAUAGUUACCAAAAAUUAUAUUAAAUUAAAUUAAUAUUAAUUACAAAUAUAGUUACAAAAACACAAAUAUAAAAAAUUAAAUUUUAAAAAAAAAGAAUUAAAACAAAAAUUAUACCCGGCCUUUCAAGGGCGGGUCAGAAUCUAGUAUUAUAUUGAAAAUGCUGCAAGGCAUAUUCGACCUCCAUACUUGUCUAUCCAAACUUUAUCAGUAAGUUAUAUUUGUAAUAUUUUAUCUAAUUUUUUGUUAUGUAAUUCCACAGAAAGCAACGUUUUUCUGAAACACCGAAACAUCUAAGAUAUUCUUUAGAAUAAAACGACGUGUACACGGCUUUCUCGCCGUUGAUAUAUUUAGGCUAUAUUCGAAAUUUUAAACGUGAGUCUUGUUGUAUUAACUUUCACCUUUUAAUGUCAACGUGACAUAAUUUGUUUUCCACCGGAGAAACAGAAGCAUAAAUCUCUUUUCGUAUUUGUGUGAUGAUUAUGAAUGGGCCCUUAUGGGCUUCGUGUGAGGAAUCAAAACCCCACUAAUAUGAUGUUUACUGAUAAUUGGAUCCGUUUCGAAUUCUGCUCUCUUUGUAGUUCUCAAACGUAUACUUUACCAAACGAGGCCUGCUACAACCUCGCGAACUGGUACCGGGAUGACAUCUUCUCACGCCCGUUCCAUUUCUUUCAUAUCUGUGUUUGCUGUUUCGUCUAGUGAGAAUCUACAUAGAAUGAGGAACUUGUCAUCCAUCGUUUUGGCUAACACGGAAGAGUCGAGAAAAAUGAAUCCAUA